Molecule: ribosomal RNA, 254 nt
Filed under: uncultured bacterium
Lineage: Bacteria
Description: partial 16S ribosomal RNA
Rfam family: Bacterial small subunit ribosomal RNA
Source: RNAcentral
UACGUAGGUGGCAAGCGUUUGUCCGGAUUUACUGGGCGUAAAGGGAGCGUAGGCGGAUAUUUAAGUCAGAUGUGAAAUACCCGAGCUUAACUUGGGUGCUGCAUUUGAAACUGGAUAUCUGGAGUGCAGGAGAGGAAAGUGGAAUUCCUAGUGUAGCGGUGAAAUGCGUAGAGAUUAGGAAGAACACCAGUGGCGAAGGCGGCUUCCUGGACACCAACUGACGCUGAGACGCGAAAGCGUGGGGAGCAAACAGG